Molecule: long non-coding RNA, 6593 nt
Filed under: Prunus persica (peach)
Lineage: Eukaryota; Viridiplantae; Streptophyta; Magnoliopsida; Rosales; Rosaceae
Description: long non-coding RNA (PPER_LNC007985)
Source: RNAcentral
GGACGCAACACGAGGACUUCCCAGGAGGUCACCCAUCCUAGUACUACUCUCGCCCAAACUCGCUUAACUUCGGAGUUCUUAUGGGAUCCGGUGCUUGUGAGUUGGUAUGAUCGCAUCCGUUAGCUUGUAACGCCAAAUUGUAUAAGAGCCACGUUUGUGCCGUGCCAUGUGACCAUGGGUUGGCUAUCCAACGCCCCCCUCCGGGCCGCGUGAAAUCACAUGCCGUCGCAUGGAAUGUCAGGCCUUGUCAUCCCCACCCCGGCCCUGUGCCACGGGCAGGCCUGUCGAGGCCCCGGUUCCAAUCGGCCGCGGGGCCUAGCUAACGACAAUUGAACCGAAAAGAAGUUCCCCAACAGUUUCGGCAGUGCGUCGGUCCCGCUGUUUUUUCGUUUUCGUUCCUUUCCGGAGCCUAGUUAGUUGGAGGCGAGCUCCAUGGGGUGACGUAGGACAGAUGGCGGAAGCAACUGAAGAGGAGCUGGAGCGGCGCGCGUGAAGCGGCAAGUCGGGUAAACCGCAGAUCUGGGCUUCGACCUCAGAAUUGGGCACACGAACCCUCGGCCGGAAGAGAACGGCGUCACGAGUAAAACUCAUCGCGUUGCCAUGACCUGUGGGCUUUUUCGGGCAUCCGACAUCGUUUACUAGCCCGAAAUCCAAUUCUCGCAGUUUUCGAAAACUCUGUUAUUUUCCCACUUCAAUUCCGCUGUUAAUCCAAGGCUUUCUAGGAGUAUUUGAGCAAACUUUACCCAGAUUGCCACGCUGCGUCACGGGGCCGCGGAAAAACAAAGAACAGCCACGGCGGAAAGCGGACGCCCGCGACAAUCGAAACGUCAAAAAAGCAAAAGGGAGGGGAUGCAACACGAGGACUUCCCAGGAGGUCACCCAUCCUAGUACUACUCUCGCCCAAACUCGCUUCACUUCGGAGUUCUGAUGGGAUCCGGUGCAUGUGAGUUGGUAUGAUCGCAUCCGUUAGCCUGUAACGCCAAAUUGUAUAAGAGCCACGUUUGUGCCGUGCCAUGUGACCAUGGGUUGGCUAUCCAACGCCCCCCUCCGGGCCGCGUGAAAUCGCAUGCCGUCGCAUGGAAUGUCAGGCCUUGUCGUCCCCACCCCGGUCCUGUGCCACGGGCAGGCCUGUCGAGGCCCCGGUUCCAAUCGGCCGCGGGGCCUAGCUAACGACAAUUGAACCGAAAAGAAGUUCCCCAACAGUUUCGGCAGUGCGUCGGUCCCGCUGUUUUUUCGCUUUCGUUCCUUUCCGGAGCCUAGUUAGUUGGAGGCGAGCUCCACGGGGUGACGUAGGACAGAUGGCGGAAGCAACUGAAGAGGAGCUGGAGCGGCGCGCGUGAAGCGGCAAGUCGGGUAAACCGCAGAUCUGGGCUCCGACCUCAGAAUUGGGCACACGAACCCUCGGUCGGAAGAGAACGGCGUCACGAGUAAAACUCAUUGCGUUGCCAUGACCUGUGGGCUUUUUCGGGCAUCCGACAUCGUUUACUAGCCCGAAAUCCAAUUCUCGCAGUUUUCGAAAACUCUGUUAUUUUCCCACUUCAAUUCCGCUGUUAAUCCAAGGCUUUCUAGGAGUAUUUGAGCAAACUUUACCCAGAUUGCCACGCUGCGUCACGGGGCCGCGGAAAAACAAAGAACAGCCACGGCGGAAAGCGGACGCCCGCGACAAUCGAAACGUCAAAAAAGCAAAAGGGAGGGGAUGCAACACGAGGACUUCCCAGGAGGUCACCCAUCCUAGUACUACUCUCGCCCAAACUCGCUUAACUUCGGAGUUCUGAUGGGAUCCGGUGCAUGUGAGUUGGUAUGAUCGCAUCCGUUAGCUUGUAACGCCAAAUUGUAUAAGAGCCACGUUUGUGCCAUGCCAUGUGACCAUGGGUUGGCUAUCCAACGCCCCCCUCCGGGCCGCGUGAAAUCACAUGCCGUCGCAUGGAAUGUCAGGCCUUGUCGUCCCCACCCCGGCCCUGUGCCACGGGCAGGCCUGUCGAGGCCCCGGUUCCAAUCGGCCGCGGGGCCUAGCUAACGACAAUUGAACCGAAAAGAAGUUCCCCAACUGUUUCGGCAGUGCGUCGGUCCCGCUGUUUUUCGUUUUCGUCUUUUCCGGAGCAUAGUUAGCUGGAAUGCACGCUGCGUCACGGGGUCGCGGAAAAACAAGAACAGGCCACGGCGGAAAGCGGACGCCCGCGACAAUCGAAACGUCAAAAAAGCAAAAGGGAGGGGAUGCAACACGAGGACUUCCCAGGAGGUCACCCAUCCUAGUACUACUCUCGCCCAAACUCGCUUAACUUCGGAGUUCUGAUGGGAUCCGGUGCAUGUGAGUUGGUAUGAUCGCAUCCGUUAGCUUGUAACGCCAAAUUGUAUAAGAGCCACGUUUGUGCCGUGCCAUGUGACCAUGGGUUGGCUAUCCAACGCCCCCCUCCGGGCCGCGUGAAAUCACAUGCCGUCGCAUGGAAUGUCAGGCCUUGUCGUCCCCACCCCGGCCCUGUGCCACGGGCAGGCCUGUCGAGGCCCCGGUUCCAAUCGGCCGCGGGGCCUGGCUAACACAGUUGAACCGAAAAGAAGUUCCCCAACAGUUUCGGCAGUGCGUCGGUCCCGCUGUUUUUUCGCUUUCGUUCCUUUCCGGAGCCUAGUUAGUUGGAGGCGAGCUCCACGGGGUGACGUAGGACAGAUGGCGGAAGCAACUGAAGAGGAGCUGGAGCGGCGCGCGUGACGCGGCAAGUCGGGUAAACCGCAGAUCUGGGCUCCGACCUCAGAAUUGGGCCCACGAACCCUCGACCGGAAGAGAACGGCGUCACGAGUAAAACUCAUUGCGUUGCCAUGACCUGUGGGCUUUUUCGGGCAUCCGACAUCGUUUACUAGCCCGAAAUGCAAUUCUCGCAGUUUUCGAAAACUCUGUUAUUUUCCCACUUCAAUUCCGCUGUUAAUCCAAGGCUUUCUAGGAGUAUUUGAGCAAACUUUACCCAGAUUGCCACGCUGCGUCACGGGGCCGCGGAAAAACAAAGAACAGCCACGGCGGAAAGCGGACGCCCGCGACAAUCGAAACGUCAAAAAAGCAAAAGGGAGGGGAUGCAACACGAGGACUUCCCAGGAGGUCACCCAUCCUAGUACUACUCUCGCCCAAACUCGCUUAACUUCGGAGUUCUGAUGGGAUCCGGUGCAUGUGAGUUGGUAUGAUCGCAUCCGUUAGCUUGUAACGCCAAAUUGUAUAAGAGCCACGUUUGUGCCGUGCCAUGUGACCAUGGGUUGGCUAUCCAACGCCCCCCUCCGGGCCGCGUGAAAUCACAUGCCGUCGCAUGGAAUGUCAGGCCUUGUCGUCCCCACCCCGGCCCUGUGCCACGGGCAGGCCUGUCGAGGCCCCGGUUCCAAUCGGCCGCGGGGCCUGGCUAACGACAGUUGAACCGAAAAGAAGUUCCCCAACAGUUUCGGCAGUGCGUCGGUCCCGCUGUUUUUUCGCUUUCGUUCCUUUCCGGAGCCUAGUUAGUUGGAGGCGAGCUGCACGGGGUGACGUAGGACAGAUGGCGGAAGCAACUGAAGAGGAGCUGGAGCGGCGCGCGUGAAGCGGCAAGUCGGGUAAACCGCAGAUCUGGGCUCCGACCUCAGAAUUGGGCACACGAACCCUCGGCCGGAAGAGAACGGCGUCACGAGUAAAACUCAUCGCGUUGCCAUGACCUGUGGGCUUUUUCGGGCAUCCGACAUCGUUUACUAGCCCGAAAUCCAAUUCUCGCAGUUUUCGAAAACUCUGUUAUUUUCCCACUUCAAUUCCGCUGUUAAUCCAAGGCUUUCUAGGAGUAUUUGAGCAAACUUUACCCAGAUUGCCACGCUGCGUCACGGGGCCGCGGAAAAACAAAGAACAGCCACGGCGGAAAGCGGACGCCCGCGACAAUCGAAACGUCAAAAAAGCAAAAGGGAGGGGAUGCAACACGAGGACUUCCCAGGAGGUCACCCAUCCUAGUACUACUCUCGCCCAAACUCGCUUAACUUCGGAGUUCUGAUGGGAUCCGGUGCAUGGGAGUUGGUAUGAUCGCAUCCGUUAGCUUGUAACGCCAAAUUGUAUAAGAGCCACGUUUGUGCCGUGCCAUGUGACCAUGGGUUGGCUAUCCAACGUCCCCCUCCGGGCCGCGUGAAAUCACAUGCCGUCGCAUGGAAUGUCAGGCCUUGUCGUCCCCACCCCGGCCCUGUGCCACGGGCAGGCCUGUCGAGGCCCCGGUUCCAAUCGGCCGCGGGGCCUAGCUAACACAGUUGAACCGAAAAGAAGUUCCCCAACAGUUUCGGCAGUGCGUCGGUCCCGCUGUUUUUUCGCUUUCGUUCCUUUCCGGAGCCUAGUUAGUUGGAGGCGAGCUCCACGGGGUGACGUAGGACAGAUGGCGGAAGCAACUGAAGAGGAGCUGGAGCGGCGCGCGUGAAGCGGCAAGUCGGGUAAACCGCAGAUCUGGGCUCCGACCUCAGAAUAGGGCACACGAACCCUCGGCCGGAAGAGAACGGCGUCACGAGUAAAACUCAUCGCGAUGCCAUGACCUGUGGGCUUUUUCGGGCAUCCGACAUCGUUUACUAGCCCGAAAUCCAAUUCUCGCAGUUUUCGAAAACUCUGUUAUUUUCCCACUUCAAUUCCGCUGUUAAUCCAAGGCUUUCUAGGAGUAUUUGAGCAAACUUUACCCAGAUUGCCACGCUGCGUCACGGGGCCGCGGAAAAACAAAGAACAGCCACGGCGGAAGCGGACGCCCGCGACAAUCGAAACGUCAAAAAAGCAAAAGGGAGGGGAUGCAACACGAGGACUUCCCAGGAGGUCACCCAUCCUAGUACUACUCUCGCCCAAACUCGCUUAACUUCGGAGUUCUGAUGGGAUCCGGUGCAUGUGAGUUGGUAUGAUCGCAUCCGUUAGCUUGUAACGCCAAAUUGUAUAAGAGCCACGUUUGUGCCGUGCCAUGUGACCAUGGGUUGGCUAUCCAACGCCCCCCUCCGGGCCGCGUGAAAUCACAUGCCGUCGCAUGGAAUGUCAGGCCUUGUCGUCCCCACCCCGGCCCUGUGCCACGGGCAGGCCUGUCGAGGCCCCGGUUCCAAUCGGCCGCGGGGCCUGGCUAACACAGUUGAACCGAAAAGAAGUUCCCCAACAGUUUCGGCAGUGCGUCGGUCCCGCUGUUUUUUCGCUUUCGUUCCUUUCCGGAGCCUAGUUAGUUGGAGGCGAGCUCCACGGGGUGACGUAGGACAGAUGGCGGAAGCAACUGAAGAGGAGCUGGAGCGGCGCGCGUGACGCGGCAAGUCGGGUAAACCGCAGAUCUGGGCUCCGACCUCAGAAUUGGGCCCACGAACCCUCGACCGGAAGAGAACGGCGUCACGAGUAAAACUCAUUGCGUUGCCAUGACCUGUGGGCUUUUUCGGGCAUCCGACAUCGUUUACUAGCCCGAAAUCCAAUUCUCGCAGUUUUCGAAAACUCUGUUAUUUUCCCACUUCAAUUCCGCUGUUAAUCCAAGGCUUUCUAGGAGUAUUUGAGCAAACUUUACCCAGAUUGCCACGCUGCGUCACGGGGCCGCGGAAAAACAAAGAACAGCCACGGCGGAAAGCGGACGCCCGCGACAAUCGAAACGUCAAAAAGCAAAGGGAGGGGAUGCAACACGAGGACUUCCCAGGAGGUCACCCAUCCUAGUACUACUCUCGCCCAAACUCGCUUAACUUCGGAGUUCUGAUGGGAUCCGGUGCAUGUGAGUUGGUAUGAUCGCAUCCGUUAGCUUGCAACGCUAAAAGUAUAUAAGCCACGCCAAAUGGCCUGCCUAACGACAAUUGAACGCGAAAAACCCCCGAUAAUUCCGGCAGUGCGUCGGUCCCGCUCCUUCCGACACCCAGUUGAUUGGAGACGGGCUCCUCGAGGUGACGUCGGAAGCAGUUGAAGAGCAGCUGGAGCGACGCGCGUAUCGGGUGAACCGCAUAUCUGGGCUCCGACCUCAGAAUCAGGCCCACGAGCAGUCGAUUUGAAGAGAACGGCGUCACGAGUAAAACUCAUGGCGCUGCCAUGACUGACGGGCUUUUUCGGGCAUCCGACACCGUUUGCUGGGGCGAAAUUCAGUUUCGGGAAACUUUGUCACUUUCGUAUUUUGAUUCCGUUGUGGGCUUUCUGGGAGUAUUUAAGCGUACUUUAUCCCCGAUUGCCACGCUGCGUCACGGGGUCGUGGAAAAACAAAGACAGCCAGAUGAAUAAGACGACGGAAAGCAAACGCCCACGACAAUUCAAACGUCAAAAAGACAUAAAGAGGAGACGCAACACGAGGACUUCCCAGGAGGUCACCCAUCCUAGUACUACUCUCGCCCAAACUCUCUUAACUUCGGAGUUCUGGUGGGAUCCGGUGCAUGUGAGUUGGUAUGAUCGCAUCCGUUGGCUUACAACGCCUAAAAGUAUAUAAGCCACGUUUGAGCCAUGCCAUAUGGCCUACCUAACGACAAUUGAACGCGAAAAAACCCCCGAUAAUUCCGACAGUGCGUCGGUCCCGCUCCUUUCCGGCACCCAGUUAAUUGGAGACGGGCACCUCGGGGUGACGUCGGAAGCAGUUGAAGAGGAGCUGGAGCGACGCGCGUAUCGGGUAAACCUCAUAUCUGUGCUCCGACCUCAG